AGAUCUAGAUUUGUUUUCAAAGAGGUUUAUUGCACAGCUCACAGGGUGCUUCAGUUGAGCUAAGCUUGAACGGGGCUGGGGACUGGUUCCUUGAGGACAGGUGAUGACAUCCAGGGUGGACAGAGGGCUUGGGAGCUGGCGGAUGAGCCACAUCACAAAGUGCUGAUCCAGGAGCUAAUAUGUCCCAUCCAAGUGAACCGGAACAAGUGGAUAUGUGGUAUUGUCUUGCACAGAUCUAUUGGCACAAGCAACUACGUAGAACUUGGUUGCUGGUACAUUUUGAUAUCUGCAGUUCAUAUAAUCCUUUGUUUUUCUGGUGAUGUUACAGUCAACCAAAGGCACCUGAACUGAACUGUUAUGACAAUUUGUACUGGGGCUUGUAAGGCAGGUUAUAUUUGGGGUUUCACAAACUUGAGCAACAGCGGCAAAACUUGUAUGUAGAAAUGUAUUUUUGGAUUUGCAUUGCCUUCUGUAUCUGUUAACUACCCGCAUUGCAUCAUCACAUCGGGGGUGGGCCAUAAUUAAGUGCUGGAUUUCAAACCACUGAGCCCAGGUUAAAUGACCUGGUGGGGCCUGAAAUGAGAUAAUUAUUCCCAUGAACCCCAGCAGCAGCAGGAGCCAAAGUUUUGGAGCCAUGUUUCCUGUGAACAAAGAAAAGAAAUAACUAGUCCUGCAUCCUAACUCAGUGACCAUAUUCUUUUCCUGUCUUAGCUUACAGGAUCUCUCUGAGGUCCUAUAGGUCUUAUAGGACCUCACUGUGGGGUCAUAUUUCCAUUUGCUCCCAUCAUUAAUGUGUUCAAGUUCCUGGGUAUUCAUUUUAUUUCAGCUUCCCUUAGGUUCCACUGCUGGCCCUCUGGUCCCAGCUCUAGGGCUCAAUGUCUUACCCACUCUCUGUACUGUGGCUCCUGUGUAACAAACCCAGCUGAUUGUCUGUUCUUGGGUUCGGAAACUAUGGGUGCUCCUGUAUGGGCCUGUAGAUACAUAGCAGCUCCUGUGUGGGGCCGCCAGAGCCAGGAAGUUUCUAAUGUCUUGGCCGUGCAGACACCCACAUAUUGGUACUAGGCCCACGUGUGCAUCCAGCCUCUUGACUGACCAAUGGGUCUGAAGGACAGCACUACUGCUGCUUCUGCUAUAAGAAAUCUAAUUCCACAUUAUCCAUGAAGGACUUUUGCAGGCUGGAUCUGGUCUCAGUGAAUAAAAACUAUACACUGCCUGCUAAAUGUCCAUGGGUUUGGUCACUGUGUUUUAGUAGGGUACCGAAAGACCAAGUUCCAUCAAGGCAGGGCUAGUACUCAACAAGUAGAGCUGGUAGGGCCCAUUUCACAGGAGGAAUUUGCAUUCCUGUCUCAUCUUAAAAACUCCCAUAAUGUUGGCUGGUCUAGGGAGUCUCCUCUACUGCAAUGGGUCAGCUGGAGAUGGGCAGCAGCUGCCAGUGUUGAAAAGGGCACUAGGCUCAGGGGUCUUCCUGAGUCCACCUCUCCUUCCUGGACUCACCUUCUCUGUUCAGCCAAUGAUGUCACUCUCCUGCCUACUGGAGACAUUUGUGUUCAUUACCAUCAGACUUAUUACAGUUUCCUGAAAAAUGACUCAGAUCACACCUUCCCAGUUACUGGGCACUUAACUUCCGUUCAGCCCUCCCUCAGGUGCUAUCCCACCACAGCCCCUUCUAUUCCAGGUCUGGGGCUUAAUGCCUUACCUAAUCUCUGUGCUGUGGCUCCUGUGAGAACAGACCCAGCUGGUUUUCCUGGGAUUCGGGAUUGUGGGUGCUCCUAUUUGGGUUUGUAGAUAUAUAGUAGCCCCUAUNUUACCUAAUCUCUGUGCUGUGGCUCCUGUGAGAACAGACCCAGCUGGUUUUCCUGGAAUUCGGGAUUGUGGGUGCUCCUAUUUGGGUUUGUAGAUAUAUAGUAGCCCCUAUGGGUGGGGCUGCCAGAGUCAGGUGGGUUCUGACGUCUUGAUUAUGCAGAAACCCACAGAGGGGUUCAUGGCCCCCUUGUGCAAGCAGCCUUCCUCUUUCAUUACUUGGUGGACCAAUUGGUAGUCAAGGAUACAGCUUUAGUUGCUACUGUUGUAAUAGAUCUAAGGCAUCGUGUGCCACCAGAGCUUUCCCUGUUGAUCUGGGAUGUGCUGUUCAGGAAUAUUUCCUGGGUGAAGAAUGACCAGAGAUUUGAUAACUCUGCAUAAAGCUAGGCCAAGAACCAAAUCACAGAAACAUGCCAGGAAAAGCUGUUUGCACAAAAGAAGCCCAAGUUCCCCUUUCAUUUUUAGUCUUCUUGGCAGUUUGUUAACACCCUUGUUCUCCAUCUUCUCAUCUCCCUCUGGAGUAAACUGUUUUUUUUUUUCUUUUAAAUUUAAUUUUGUGGAUAAUGGAAAUAAUUUGUUAUAUAUAUUUGAAGUCCUCUCCUGCAUUCUUCUUUUGUAGGAUUCCCUCUUUGUGGUGUGAAGUUUUGCCCUGAAUAUUAUUUUUACUUUUUGAAAAAUUGAACUACCUUAAAAUAGAAGAAAACUAUUCUGUUCAAUUUGCCCCAGAAUGAACUUGGUGUGAUAAAGGAUUCCAAUGCAGCACUUAGUAUUCCUGCAUUCUUUUCAGUCUGUGCUGUUUCCUACUGCCGACAGCCAUCCGUGAACUGUGGGUGAACCAAAACAACGCGGAAGCCAUUAGUGAAAGUCUGGUAUCCUGGGGACUCCCAGCAGCAACUCUAUUGGUUUGAGAUGCCUGAUUCACAUGACUUCCUACCUAGAUCCAUCAGAAGUUCAGCACAGCUCAGAGAUGGGGUGACCCACGGGAGCCACACCGCCUCUGGGAGAUGGGUGUGGCUUUCCAAGAUGCCAAUCAACCUGUUUGCUGCGAGACCCCCGUCGUGCGGAGAAGUGAGACCCCUCCCGCUGAAACCUUAUCCCUGCCUUUGAUGUACUACCCCUUAAAUAAAGAAUGGGAGCCGUGUUCAGUUCCAUCUCCUAUCAGGACCGGAAGACCUAUCAGGCACUCCCCUUUUAUCUAAUUUCUGGCUCUGUCUCUUAUUUCUUACUAAUUAUUUCAGACUUUUUAUUUUCUCAUGGAGCGCACACCUUCUAAACAGAAAACUACCCUGGCAGGGCGCUGGUAACCCUACAAUAGUCUACAAAAUGGAGCUCUCAAUUUUCAGUUAAUCAUUUCAUCUUUUGGUAUUAAGAAGAAGAUUGUGUGUGUGUGUAUAUAUAUAUAUAUAUAUAUAUAUAUAUAUAUAUAUAUAUUCCUGAAAAAAAAUAUAUUUUCCUGAAAGGAUAGUUGUCUCGGUGCAUCAUUUUAUAAGUGAAACACAGUUUUUCUUGGUCCUCUGAGAAGCACUGGAGAAUAAAUAAACAUUGAAUUUUAUUACAAUGUGAUAGAGGUGACAACCCUGGUCUGAGCAUGGUUUUUGGGCACUGGGGAUGAGGUCAUCCCCUCAUGGACAAGGAAGGGUGCCAGCAGAAAGUGCCACCCUUGAAGUGCUGUAAAGGGUGGGUCGGGGUUUGCAGGGACUGUUGGGACUUUAGGGAGAAAGAUGAGUGUUCUGGGGAGAGGGGGUGGUGUGGGAAAUUGCUCAGGGUGGAGAUGAACUGCAGGGGGCAGGGAGACCUGUGUGCUAAGAGAAGUUAAAUCUCUGCUCCAGCUUCCAGGUUAGAAAACUGGACUUAGACCCUUAGAUGGAAUCAAACACUGUUUUAGCCAAAUUAGUCCACCUAAUGCUUUAAUGCCUUUCUACCUUCCUGUCAUCUGGAAAUGCAAUCAUUUUAUUAUUGAUGUCCUUAUGUAAAUUGGGACACAAUGGUGACCUGAUACGAGCUGUUACAGCCAAACUAAAAUACACACCAGGCCUGAAAAAUCCUUGAGCAGACAAAAUGUAUCUUCAAGGAGGCCUUAAAAAUAGUCUUAUCCAAUGCAAAUUAAAACUACACUGAGAUUCCGGCUCACUCUAGUCAGAAUGGAAAUUAUCAUGAAUAGAAGCAAAAAUAAAUGUUGGUGAGGAUGUGGGGGGAGGGAGGUACAUUCAUACAUUGCUGGUGGGACUAAAAAUUGGUGAAACCAUUCUGGAAAGCAGUAUGGAGGUUCCUCAGAAAACCUGGAAUGGAACCACCAUUUGACCCUAUUAUCCCACUCUUUGGUAUACCCCAAAGGACUUAAAUUCAACAAACUACAGUGAUACAACCCCAUCAAUAUUUAAACCAGAAAAUCUAAACCAUGGAAUAAACUUAGGUGCCUUUCAACAGAUGAAUGGAUAAAGUAAUGUGGUAUAUAUGCACAAUGGAAUAUUACUCAGCCAUAAAGAACAAUGAAACUAUGGCAUUUGCCAGUAAAUGGAUGGAGCUGGAGAAUAUCAUGUUAAGCAAAAUAAUCCAGUUCCAAAAAACCAAAGGCUGAAUAUUUUCUCUGAUAUUCAGAUGCUAACUCACAAUAAGGAUGGGGGCUAGGGAAGAACAGAAGUGCUUUGGAUUAGACAGAGGGGAAUUAAGAGAAGGGAGGGAGAAUGUGAAUAGGAAAGAUAGUAGAAUGGAUUGAAUAUUACUAUCCUAUGUGCAUGUAUGAUUACUCCACCAUAAUUUAACAUCAUGUACAACCAGAAGAAUGAGAAGUUAUACUCCAUAUGUGUAUAAUAUGUAAAAAUACAUUCUUCUAUCAUGUAUAACUAAAAAGAACAAAUAAAGAAUAUAAGUAAAUAGUGUUAUCUUUGCUUAAACUGACAACAUAAGUGAAACUUAACUUGGGUCAAUUCUGCUAAAUAUUGACAUUACAAAUAAAGCAUUUGGCAAUCCUAAGCAGUCAUGUAUUAUGUGACAAGGGAUUUUUUCACCAAAAUAAAUCUAAAAUGGCAUUUUUGUGACUGUUUCAGUAGCUUUUUAUUGAUGUGACAAAAGACCUGACAAGAACAACAUCGAUGAGGAAAAGUUUAUUUGGGUCUUCCGGUUUCAGAGUCCAAGAUGGCAUACCUCAUAGCUCUAGGCCAGAAGUUGGUAAGAACAUCCUGGCAGGAGAUUCAAGAUGGUGGAUUAGAAGAAGGCUGCAUUCCUAGGUGCUCUGUGGCUCAAGAUUCAAGCAGUGGGAGUACUGCUUCUCAGUGAGGUGGUUGAAGAGGAAUUUCACUACAAAUUCAAUGUUGGAUAGUCAGAAUGUCUUAGAGACUUAGAAAUUUGGGUACAUUGAACAAAGAAGGAAGAGUACACAUGAUCCAAGCUGGCUGUGGCAGGGGAGGUGGUAGUGGUGCAGGUUCACCACAGAGGGGAGGGAUAACACAGAGAGGAACGCAGCAGACUGAUUUGGUCUGGAAAAACCUGAGACCAGAAUAUAGCGCAGAAAAAUAUCAGAAAAUCAGCCUGGACUUAGCUGAUCCAGAGGCUGUACUGCGGAAUGGAAAGGGCUUCUCAUCUGACCAGCAGAGAGCAGAGGCAGGAGCCAUCCGGAGGAGGCCAUGCUUUGGCUGCUGCUGCAGAGCCAGGAGAUCAUAGCAAACAUUGCCAUACUACCCUGGCAAGCAUCUACCAUGUAGCCUAGGGAAUACCUAGCCGAACGUAAAGAAAACAUGCACAGAGAAGUACCCAGGAGAUUCCAGUCAGAAAUAUGGAGGGAGUGUAACUCAGUUUCCCUUUGAGUCUGGUGGCUCAUGUGUCCAGCAGAAGUGGGUGGGAAUCUGAACAUGGGUGUGAGUACGUGGGAAGGCUGUGUCCAUGUGCAACAUUCAGACUGUGUGGAGGAUGGUCUUCUGCCCCAUGAAGUAGAAUUCUUGGGAAGCUCCUUGGAGCCAGACUCCUGAUAGAGAUCAGUAACUGCCAGGCCCUAGGGGUCUGUUGAGCUAAUCUCACCAGAGCAGAUACAAUCCAAUAAAGUCCCUCAGGCCUGAUUAGAUUUAAGCCUCAAUUAUUGAAAUUCCCUUCAUAAAACUCUGCAGCAGUCCCACCCUGAGAGAGCAUUGAUCUGGUCUGUCUAGGCAAAACUCCACUGACGUAUUUCUUAUUCCAUCCCACCUUACACUGGUGAAAAGGGACUCAGAGAUAUUUCUACCAGCUUCAGUCUUAGGUCACUCCAACUGGAAGCUUAAUGAGUAACACAAAAAGAAGAGAUUAAGAGCUUUCAGCCCAGGACCUAAAAAGAAAUGGGAAAAAAAAAAAAAGGACAGUUGGGCAUAGGCAGUGACCAUCCAUUCUCUUCAACUAUGUUGACCACCUUGGUGGAGACAAUGCCUUCAUUAAGAAUCUUUUUUUCCUUUUUUUUUUUCUUGGGUAUUCUCGCUGUAUGGAUUGGUUCAUGAACAUAUAUACAUAUAAAUAUCUCCCCCCUCAUUUUCAGUACUUUCUUUAAUGUAGUUAUUUUUCUUUGCCUUGUCUUUUCAGGGUUAGGGUCUUUGUUGGUUUAUUUUGGUUUUGUUUUCAUUUGUUUGGUUCUCUUGUUUGUAUUUCCCUCUUUUCUUCCCAUGCUAACAGCCAUUUCUCAAUUUACAUUGUUUUUCCUGUUUUCCCCUCCUUCCUUAUAACCAUCACCUGCUACAUCUCUUCUGCAUUCCCUCUGUUCACUUUUUGAAAUUGUAAACUCUUCUCUAACUUCCUGACAUUAUCUUCUCUUAAUGAACUGAAUUUUUACCAUCUUUUAGUACUAAUUGGUUAAUAACCUCUGCCAGAACCAUUAAUGCUGUUGCUAUUAUUAUUAAUUAUUACUGUGGAUGACAGUCAGUACCCGUGCUUUGCUUUAAGGCCAGAUCUAGUUUAUAGUUACUUACUGUUUUUGCUGUUGGCAAUUUCUGUCCCAAAUAGUUCUUUUUUUUCUUUUCUUUCUUUUUUUUUUUGCAUAAACAUUGUAGAUGUCAUUGUAGGAAUCAGGUAUCUAAUUUAAUGCUAUAUAUUGUUUGCAUUGGUUGUUGCUAUUGUUGUUUCCCUCUAUUCUGUGAGGGACUGGAAAUCUACAGGAAUACUGCACAUUCACAGGGUAGAAAUUAUGUUGCUGAACUAAACUCAGAAAACUGACCUAAAGACAGCAGACACACAAAUCAAUGGCACUCAAAUUUCAGAUAUAGUUUAGUACAAAUAAUAGAAGAGACAAAAAUCCCAAACUACUGGGCUGGGGUUGAGGGCUCAGUGGCAGAGUGCCUGCCUCGCACGUGUGAGGAACUGGGUUCAAUCCUCAGAAUCACAUAAAAUGAAUAAAUAAAAGUAUUGGGUCCAUCUACAACUAAAAAAAUAAAAAAUAAAAAAACUCAGAACCUUAAAAAAAAUCCCAAACUAUUAACCAGGCCCUAGAUAGAAAAGUUAGGGGUAGGCACUCGGAUUCCACUCAUAGACAUUCCACUGCUAAGGCAAAGACUGAGAAUUAACACGUAGAGUGUGGAUACUGCACAUAUGAGGGUUCUCAAUCUAGCUUACUCUAGGAAAAUUUGGCAAGAUAAGGCUGUGCCCCACCAAAGGCCCACACAUUGGAGUGCAAAAGAAAUCUACCUUAAUAGAUACAUAAGGGCCAACACAGGAAUACAAGAAAUAUAAAAGACAAGGUAAAACAACACCUCCUAAAGUUCACAAUUUACCAAAAACUGACAUAAAAAAAAAAACUGAAGAGGAUGAAAUAUCAGAUACAGAACUAAAAAAAAAAGAUUAUAAAAGUGAUCAAUGAAUUCCAAGAGAACAUAGGAAAAAAAACUGAAUGAAAUUAAGGAAGUCAAUACAGAAAAUGAAUGAGAAAUUCAAUAAGAAGAUAAAGAUAUUGAAAAAUAUUCCUAAAUUGCUGAGGGCCUGAUGAAGUUGAUGAGGCUGGCUUUGAACUUGCGAUCCUCCUCAGCCUCCCAGCUUGCUGGGAUCACAGGUAUACACCACCAUGCCUGGCUGGCAUGGUUCUUAGUAACUUUUCCCAGUUCCCAAGUCCCUUCCUCAGUUGUCUUGUCCUACAUCUCCACUGUUUUUUUUUUUUGUUCUGCCCAGUAACCACUUCAGGAGGUCCUGAUAUCACGUCCUGCUGCUUGUGUCUAUUCUCAAGAUCAGAGCUGAGAGGCUUGGCAGGUGUGUGUGUGUGUGUGUGUGUGUGUGUGUUUGUGCGCAUGUGUGCGCACACUUGCUUCUGUGACUUGAUAGAAGCUAAACCAGAAACACCCUAUUUUCCCCUGUGCUUCAGGCUUAGAACUCCUAUUUAUUUCUUUUUUAUUCAAGGAAUGUGAGUACUUCCUAGACUUUACAACUCAAGAGAGCUAAGAGAACAUUCAACGGGAAUGAGAAUAAAACUAAAAGAAUAGAGUAAAAAGAGAUUUAUGGUCUUAGCCUGAAAACUCUGGAUGUCAUAAAGAGAAUUUUCAGGGUAAGUCUCUGAAGGUACAGCUGUGAACUGUAUAGCAAUGGUUUGGUCAAAAAUGGGCCAUAUGAACUGAGUGCAGUGGUGUACACCUGUAACAAUAAAGAAUGUGAAGAGACUACCUACAGAAUGGGAGAAAAUCUUUGUUAGCUUCUCUUUUGACAGAGGAUUAUUAUCCAUAUAUAAAAAACAAAGAAAACUUAACACCAAACAACCAAUUAUGGGCAAAUGAACUAAAAAGACACUUUUCAAAGAAGAAAUGCAAACAGUCAACAAACAUGAAAAAAUAUUCAACAUCUUUAGCAAUCAGGGAAAUUCAAAUCAAACCUCCAUUGAGGUUUCAUCUCACUCCAGUUAGAAUGGCAGCCAUCAAGACAAAAAAAAAAUGCUGGAGAAAAAGGAACACUUUUACGUAAUUGACGAGUUAUACAUUAGCACAACCACUAAAGAAAUCAGUAUGGGGAUUCCUGAAAAGAUAUGACCAUAUGACCCUAUGAAUCAGCUAUGCCUAAAUAUUCCUUAGUAUUUAUCUUCAAGAAUUGGAAGCCAGGUGUGGUGGUGCAUGUCUGUAAUCCCAGCAGCUUGUGAGGCUGAGGCAGGAGGAUCCGAGUUCAAAGACAGCCUCAGUAAUAUAGCAAGUGGCUAAGCAACUCAUUGAGACCCUAUCUCUAAAUGAAAUAUAAAAAAGGCCUGAGGAUGUGGCUUAGUGCUUGAGUGCUCCUGAGUUCAAUUCUUGGAACAACAACAACAACAAAAAAAUGGAGUCAGCAUACGAUAGCAAUACGUAUAUACUCAUGUUUAUAGCAGCACAGUUAAAUAGCCAAACUAUGCAAUCAGCCUAGGUGUCUAUCAAUAGAUGAAUGAAUAAAGAAAAAAUGUGGUGUAUAUACACAAUGAAGUUGUAUUCAGGCAUAAAGAGAAAUAAAAUUAUAUUAUUUGCAGGAAAAUAGAUGAAACUUGAGAAUACUAUGUGAAAUAAGCCAAAGUCAGAAAGUCACAGAACAUAUGUUUUAUCUCAGAUAUGGAAGCUAGACAGGAAAAAAAAAGAAAAAAAGUUGGGGUUGGGGGCUCUCAUGAAAAUUGAAGGGUGAUCCACAGAGACAAGAAAAGGGACCAGUGGGAGGGAGGAGAGAAGGAAAAGGGGAAAUACUUGGGAAUGGUAUUGGCCAAAUUACAUUGUAAUAUUGUGUUCAUGUACAGAUACAUAACAACAAAUCCCAUCCUUAUGUACGACUAUAACGCUCCUAUAAAAAUAUGAUAAAAAAUUCAAUCCCAUUCAGUUGUAGGUACAGGGAAAGAAAACACUUUCAUUCCUUGUAUUGUCCUUAUCCUGUGUGUAUUUGGAUUCUUAUUCUGUGAUUAAUUUACGAAUGUAUGUGUUCUCUGAAGGACUAUGAGCUGCAUGAGAACAGAUGUUGCACGUGUAUUGGAUUAGUGCUGCUCAUAGAGUUUGCAUAUAUUAAGUGCUUAAAAAUACUUUUCUAACUGAAUGACUGGGCGAAUGCAUACUUGCCAUGUGUAAGUUGUAUGUAAUUGAAUGUUUUCACAGAAUGUUAAAGAAAGCCAAAGUAAGUUAUCUUUUUUUUUUUUGUAUCAAGAAUUGAACUCAGGGGUGAGUUCAAACACUGAGCCACAUCCUCUGCCCUGUUUUGUAUUUUAUUUAGAGAUAGGGUCUCACUGAGUUGCUUAGUGCCUCCCUUUUGCUAAGGCUGGCUUUGAACUCGCUAUCCUCUUGCCUCAGCCUUCUGAGCCACUGGGAUUAAAGGCGUGUGCCACCAUACCUGGCAAAGUUAUCUUCUUUUUAAAACAUAGAAACCAUAUCUGAAAGAUUGAGUUAUUUGUCCUAGCUCACAUGAUUUAAAUGACAAACUUGGCAUUCCAAUGUUGUUUCUUCCUGACUCUUUAUAGUGAUACCCAGGUACUUAGCAAACAUACUGAAAAGUAGGUUUUAAACUCCAUUUAUUCUCUAGUUUACCUUUUUAAAUUUUCAAUUUUAAGUUAAAGGUUGGCAUAAUUUAUGCACAAACUGCAAUUUAUAACAAGAUGAGUCUUGAAUUAGCAGCAUUUUUGAAGGCAUCAUGGUGCUGGUGAUGGGAAAAACUGGAGACAUGUCAACUUCUCAGGAAGGAGCCACAUUUUCAUAUCAAACUGUGAGCUAGGCCUUUAUCCUCAAUAUGCAAUUUAACUACCCACCGUCCAUUAAUUGACCCAUAAUUCAUUUGUACCUUCAAUGGCAAAUAGUUUUCAAUAUAUUCAAAUAGUUUUCAAUAUCUCCUUUGGCAAGCCUUGGUUGAGUGAGGGAGACUGAAUGCACUCUGUGCUCUUAACAAGAUUUGCAGACUACUGGGAGAGACUCCCAUUACUCAUAUGACUGCAGAUAAUUGUCAGUCUCACAGGUGACAACAUAAUAGGGCUACAUGUAACAUGACAGAAUAGAACAAGAGGAGCUGCCCUAGUUUAAGGCAUCAGAGAAGUCUCCACAGAACUCAGGCAAAUGGCCCCCACAAGCACGAUUACACUGGACAGCAGGUCUGCUUGGCUUGAAAACCCAGUCCCAUCCCUGAGGAACACAAGGCUACCUCAUGGCAACCAAAGUCCUUCCUGAUGCUUCAGUUUUCCCCAGGAACUCCUGAGCAAUGGACAUUGAGUCAUUACUCAAUCACUGACAUCCUUUAAAACAGUUUUUCUUUUCUAAACCACAAAUGCAGAAGUGCUUUCCCUGUGUCUGAGUUUCAUAAAGCUGCUCAGUGACUGUUAAUACCAACUCAUCAUCCCAGUGUCUCUGGGGUCACAAGAUCAAUCUUCAGAGUUCUAAGGCAUUGAAUAUGUCUGGUGUGCCUCUGAUAGAGUGUGGGGGUGACUGAAGUGACUGGAGCAGCCUGCCAAGAGGGCAACAUCAUGCUGAGGAUCUAGUGGAAUUUGGCUAAGAUUGAUUUGUAGCUGAUCUCUGCUUCACUCACAAGAAUGCUCAGCCUCAGGCCUCUCAUGUCAGACUAGAUCAUUUGGACUUUCUUUCCUAGGCAAUGGAAAGCAGUUAAAAAAAUUGUUGAGAGAAGUUACCGAGAGAAUGAUUGGGAAAUUCUCUUAGCAGUGUGUGCAGAACCCCACUCAGUAGGAAGAAGGUUGUUGGGAAUUGGGCAUGGCACAUUCUAGACUCCUCGAAAGAGAUGUUUCACAUUCCCCAGGGUCCACAAUUCAUAUGGGAACAGGAUCCAGGUAGAGGUUAGAAGGAAUGAGUAGUCAGGCAGGCAACAAUAGGCAGUGCUUGGAAUAGUGAAGCCCUGGAGUGUUCUUAUCCUGUUGAGAGCCACUGAACCUGACUCCCUGGGUGUUGCCUUAAAGAAAUGCAGACCAUGCUUACCAGAUAUUCCCAUAUUUCACAGGGAAGAUAGGAAUCUAGACUUUUAGGUUGAAAAAUCCCAACUUUUAUAACUUGGCAACUAAUUCAAAACAUCACAAUGGCACAGUGCAGAACAAUCCAAAUAGGCUGAGUGCCAGCAUGCUAGCAUUAGCACUCUGGUCCUAGUUGGCCAACUGAACCUUUGGUUUAUGUCCUUGUUGCAAUGACCACCCCCACCCCCACCCCACCACACACAGUGACUGUUAAGAUUCCAGGGAGAGUCUAUAGCUAGACACUCAAAUAGGUAGGCACCUCUACCGUGAAAUAAAAUGUGACCAGUAUUCACACAAAAUUCAGUCAAGGGAAGUUUGUAAAAUACUCAAAAAUAUUGCUACAUGCAAAAUAUUUCUGAAGAAGUUCCCCCAAAACACAGGCAACUAAAGGAAAAUAGACAAAUGCUAUUGUAAAAAGACUUCUACACAGGAAAGGAAAUAAUCAAAGGAAAUAAUUAAGGUGAAGAGACAAUCAAUGGGAUGAAAGAAAAUAUUUGCAAACCAGGUAUCUGACAAAGGAUUAGUGUGCCGAAUAUACAAGGAACUCAAACAACUCAACAUCAGAAAAACCGACAAUCUGAUGAAUAAAUAAGACAAUGGCCUGGUGUGGUGGUGCACUCUUGUAAUCCCAAUGACUUAGAAGGCAGAGUCAGGAGGAUAGAUAGUUUGAAGCCAGCUUCAGCAACUUAGCUAGACCCUGUCUCAAAAUAAAGAAAUAAGAGGAGGACGGGUGUCGUAGCUUCAUGGUAAAGUAUCCUGGGUUCAAUCCCCAGUACAAUGCAUAAACACACAGACUUACACGCACACAAAAAAAAACCCCACAUACAAAUAGGCUAAUGGUCUAAAUGACAUUUGCAAAAGAAUAUAUGGAAAUUGCAGAAUAGUCUAUGAAAAAAAUCUCAACUUCACUAUUCUUCUGGAAAAUGCAAAGCAAAAUCAUAAUUACAUACCAUCGCACACUAGUUCAAAUGGCUAUCAUCAAAAGACAAAAAUUAUCAGAUGCUUGUGAGAAUCUGGUGAAAAGGGAACUCUUGCCGACUACUGGUGGAAAUCCAAGUUAGUGCAGCCACUAUGGAGAAUAAUAUGGUGGUUUCUCAAAAAAUGAAAAAUAAGACUUCCCUCUGAUCAAGCAAUCCCACCUCUGGGUAUAAAUUCAAGGCAAAGGGAAUCAGCAUGUCACAAUGACAUCUGUAGUCCCACCUUCAUUGCAAGAUUAUUCACAAGGACCAUAAAAUGGAAACUCCCCAAGUGUCCAUCACCUAAUGAUUGUAUAAAGGUGUGGUGCAUAUGCACAAUGGAAUACUAGUUAGCCGUAAAAUGCAAUGAAAUUCUGUCAUUUGCAACAACAUGGAUGGAACUGGAUGUUGUUAUGUUAAGUGGAGUAUACCAGGCAUAGAAAGACAAAUACGUCAUGAUCUCACUCCUGAGUGUUAUCUAAAAAAGUUGAUUUCACAGAAGGAAAGAGUAGGACAGAGUCCCCAGAGGCUGGGGAGAGUGGGGAUAGAGAGAGGUUGGAUCACAGUUACCUAAAUGUAGACAGGAGGAACAUGUUCGAUAGCACAGCAGGAUGAUCAUAGUUAACCAAAAUUACCUAUGUUUCAAAGUAGCUGGCAGAGAAGAUUUUGAAUGCUCCCCCCAGAAGAUAAUGAUAAAGUGCUUGAGGUUCUGGGAAUGUCAAUUACCCUGACUGAUCAUUACACUUUUUAUACAUGUCUGGAAAAAUCUCACUGUACCCUUUAAUAUGUGCAAUUAUUAUAUCAAUUAAAAACAUAAUAAAAAAAAAACUCCAACAAACCCAUUGAACUGUACAAGGUUAGGGCCAAGGUUAGGGCCCAGUCUGCAGAGGGUUCAGAGCAGGCUGAGAAAACUUUGCUCUUGAGGAGGGCCUUUGUCAGUUGGCGGAUUCAUUAGACACCCCAGUUUCCCAGCCUGAGGCAGUGAGGGGGCCAAGUCUCUGCAGCUUCUUGAUAAGGAGUCUCUGCCUAACAUCUCUCUAUAAAAUCUCAGGAAGAGAAAGGAACAUGUCUGUAGGACAGAUUGUGAGUAAAUGACAGCAGAGGAGCAGAAACAGAUACACAGAGAUCUAGAUUGUCUGCAAAGAGGUUUAUUGCACAGCUCACAGGGUGCUUCAGCUCAGCAAAGCUUGAAAGGGGCUGGGGACUGGUUGCAUGAGAACAGGAGCUGGUAUCCAGGGUUGACAGAGGGCUUGAGAGCUGGUAGAUGAGCCAUGCCACAAAGUGCUGAUCCAGGAGCUAAUAUAUCCCAUCCAAGUGAACCGGAACAAGUAGAUACGGGGUGCUGUCCUGUGGAGAUUUCAUUUCACAAGCAACUACAUAGAACUUGGUUGCUGCUACAUUUCGAUAUGUGCAGUUGUUAUAAUUCUUUGUUCUUUUGAUGAUAUCACAGUUAACUAAGGGCACCUGAACUGAACUGUUAUGACAAUUUGUUCUGGUGACAUUACGACAGGUUAUAUUUG
RNAcentral lists this long non-coding RNA (14147 nucleotides) under Marmota monax (woodchuck). Lineage: Eukaryota; Metazoa; Chordata; Mammalia; Rodentia; Sciuridae. The record is from RNAcentral.